Molecule: long non-coding RNA, 22888 nt
Filed under: Homo sapiens (human)
Lineage: Eukaryota; Metazoa; Chordata; Mammalia; Primates; Hominidae
Description: non-protein coding lnc-TENM3-3:4
Source: RNAcentral
AGAGAGCCACCGGGGCCCGCUCGCGCGCCUCUGAGAGGCUGUCCGCGCGCGCGCGUGUGUGCGUGAGUGUGGAUUUGCCGGGACUGGAGCUGGAAAGUUCAAACUAAACGUGUUGCUCUCGCCGAGUGCCGAGGCCGCGGCGGAGGCUGCCCAACUUCCCCGGGCCAAGUGAGUGGCGUUGCCCAGCGCCUUUGGCGAGGCGGCGGCCGCUCGGCCCUGCGCCCGGCCGCGGCGGCGGCGGCUCCGCUCGCCCCGGGAGGGAGCCCGCGGCCAGGGCUGGACUCUCGCCCCGCCACCUCCACCGACUCUCUCCUCAGCCUCCGCGCCUGGCACCGCAGCAAGACUUGAAUGAAGUGAUCAUGUAAACUAGAGAAAGGAGAUUAAAAAUAACCUCUGGAUAUUCCUCUCAUGUGAUCUUUAUUCUGGAUGAAGCAUUAGGACAGCUAAUAGCCGUGUGUCACUUAAAAAUCCAACUUGAGAACUGUCACCAAAGAUGUCUAGGAACUUUGAAGAAACAUGAAGGAUUAGACUGGAGAGAAGGCUGUUUCCACCAUAAAGACAUUUACCCAGCCAGCCCUAUGAAAACAGGAGCCUAUUUCACUACUUGGUUAUUGACUGAACAGAGUAGCCAAGAGGUGGGCCUUUCAGCCCUUAGGGCCUGCCAGACAGCAUUAAAACUAAGUCUUCUGUGAAGAAGCUCCCUGUGCUUGGGAGUAUGCAGCUUUAAUGUUUGAAAGAGUGAGGGAGGGAAGAAGGGAGAUAACCCUCCCAGAAAACAGAAACGCAGACCGUGCUUUAGAAAAGAUCUUUCCAUAUGUAACAAACCUGCACGUUGUGGACAUGUACCCUAAAACUUAAAGUAUAAUAAUAAUAAUAAUAAAAGAAAAGUUCUUUCUCACAAUCCUAUCAGAUGGAAUGAGUCACCCACCUCCCUUGUGAGGGAAGGAGUAAGGCCCCCAGGAUAAUGCUUGUUGGGGCAGCCUUGGCUUACUCCCCUGAGAAAGCACACAGCUGAGCAGAAGCUGCCUCUUUGGAACCAGUGGUGGAAUAGUUACUGGUUUUACGAAUACAAUGGACACAGCAGAUUUUGUUUGUUUGUUUGUUUUGAGACAGGGUCUAGUUCCGUCACCCAGGCUGGAGUGCAGUGGUAGGAUCUUGGGUCACUCCAGCCUCAAUCCCCUGGGCUGAAGCGAUCCUCCCACCUCAGCCUCCCAAGUAGAUGAGAUUAUGCCUGGAUAAUUUUUUAAAUUUUUAAAAAAUUUUAAAAAAUUUUGCCCAGGCUGCUCUUGAUCUCCUGGGUUCAAGCGAUCCCGUCGCCUCUGCCUCCCAAAAUGCAAGGCUUCACAGCAGAUGUUUUCAGUAGAAAUUGUCUUAUAUUUGUUUUGUGUUGUUAUUGAAAUGAAUAUAAUGCUAGAUAUUUCUUGGUAUUUCGGAAGUUUAUAUCUUAUAGGAUAGAUUUUAUGGUAACUUUUUACAUCUUGAAAAUUAUGUUAAAAUUAUUUUAGUUUAACUUUGUUGAUUAUCUGCUUGUAUGAAUUGGCUUUAAUGACAAGAAAAUACUUUAAAACCCCAGGGUUACCUCCAGCUGGCUUGUCCUUUACCCCUGAAAAUUUUGGUUUCCUAAUAUAGGCAAUGACAAAAAGAAUAUUUAAAUUCCACACUCUCCAAAGUUGCAAAGUAAAAAUAAAUAAAAUAUUCAUAAACGUAUCUGAAAUGGGUCCAAAAUCAAAGAUUCAGGUAAAUAUUAAAAUACAUGUCCUUUUUUCUCUGUUGUAGAUGGACAGAGAGAGAAAAAAAAUCACUGAGUAGAGAGAGAAAUUAUAUUGUAAAUAAAACAUAUGGCGAAAGAAAACUUUUCAGGCAAAUUAAUUUUUAAAAAGCCACAUCAUACACGAUAUUAAUUAAAAAUGUGUAUAUAUAUAAUUUAAAUAAAAAUAUUUUCCUUUUUGUUAUCUUCUUCAUCUUCCAAAUUUUGGCAUUAAAAAUAUUAGGAAGGCAUUUCUAUGGCUUUUAAAAAAGCUUUCCAAGCAGCUCUCAAUUUAUUGUUUCACAUAAUGCUACUCUUUUCUCUAAGUCUGCCUUGUCAGCUAACGUGUUUUGGGAAGAAAAAAGAAAACAAAACAAAACCAAGACUCUGUUCUUCUCAUCUCUUUGAUUGAGUUAUCCUUUGCUAGGUGAAGUGUUGUGAGCUUUCAUACCCUUCCCUGGGCUUCCAGCAGCUCUCCCCACGGAGUGCUGCCACAGCACCACCAGGAGCCCCAGAUCCCUGCAAGGAGGAGAUCAAACCUCCACAGCAGGGAUUCCUCAAGACAGGUCAAGCUCCAGUGCUUGGAAAACUCAGCCUACAUCACACAAAAAUGUUAUCAUUUAUUUGGAAUUCUUUUUCAAUGGAUUGUCUCCACUUCUAAAACAUUUCUAAGUCUAGUUCAAAUCCAGCUGCAGAUUCCUGGCACUUGCUUCCUUCCCAUUCUUUUUCAUAUAUCUUCUUUUAUGUUGCAUAUACUUACUUCAGAUUAAGUAUAUAAGUUAAACUUUCAGUCUAUUCUGCCAUUAGAAGAGUUUAUUUCCAUACACAAUAAAAAAGGAUCGUUUGUAUUAUCCUCAAGAUUAGUGUAUGUUAUGAAUGCAAUAUCUUUGCAUUCAAGUGAAUUUAAAUAUUAUAGGAAGGGGUAGAGAAGGAAAUGCAAGUUAUCACUGACUGACUUGCCAAAGUUAAGCAAUUUUUAAGCAUUUUGGCAUGCAUGAUUGAUUGUGUACUUUUAAAUUUAAUAUUGUAUGGUAAUUAUUUUCUCACGUCAUUAAAAAGUAUUUUUUUCAAUGGCCAGAUAAUAGUUUAUCAUGCCAUGUACUGUAUUUAACUUCAAAUUGAUAGUCUUGAACACAUAUAUUAAUUUCAAUUCCACAGAUACAAAAAAUAAUUGACAUUAAACUUCUUUGAGAAUAAAACCUUGUCCAAAUUUGAUAUAUCCUUAGGAUGUAUUCCUAGACAUGGUUUAUUUCAUAUCUUAUGAACUCUUUAUUUGAAGGUAUUUGGUAUGAGUUGAGAAAUUACAUUACAGAAAAAAAUUUUGAGUGUGUAUUUCAUUCAAUCUUUGCAUUGUUUGUAAGUGCCUAUAUUAAGAACUUUUUUGUUAAAGUUUGACUAUGAAAUCUGAUGAGUGAAAAUUUAAUCUUUUUCUUAUUUUAAUUUUAAUUUCUUCAGUUAAUAGUUAAACUGAACGCUUUCCAUGUGUUUAUUAGCCACUUCUCAAUUUUUAUAUAUUUAUUUAGAUAAAAUUGUGCUUACCAACUCCAGUCUCAAUACUCUCUGUUAAGGUCUACGGUGUAUUCAUCUGUUGAGGUUUUUGUGCUUAGAGUAUCAAUUUUUGUGAAUGGGAUAUUUAUUAUAACUAACAAUUCUAGGUUUUAUUUAUUAAAAAUUGAACAAUCUGCUAUCUAUAAAAUCCGUAAUAUUUCCUUUGCAAUUUUCUUCCAAACAAUUGUAAGUUUUACACCAAAAUUAUUCCAAGAACAAAGCACGUGAGACUAUUUUAUUGACAAAACUUUGUUGGCUGAAAGUUUAUCUUCCGUAUACUUCAAUUUUUUUUCCCAUAGGAGGUUUAAAGAGCACACACACACACACACCACACACACACACACACACACACACACACACACACACACACACACACACACAGUGUUUCUGAAGCCCAGGCCAUUUUUGGUACCAACUAUAUCAAGUUAGAAUUUUUACAUGUGUCUCUUCUGUACGAAUCUAUACCAAAAUACAUGGACAGAAAAUACAGUGAUACAUUCUUUUAAAUGAAUGCUGAUUGCACUUUACAGUUUAAGAAACAAGGCUUCGAUGUAGGGAUUUCAGAGUGAACACUUACUAUAUAUCUUUGGAAACUAGACUGCUAACCUGUUACUGAAAUGUUUGCAUCAAAUUGUUUAUCAGGUUAUUUUCUCUCGGUAUAUAAAUAUAACAAACUUGGACAAAGUGGAUGUAUUUUCAAAGGAUAAUAAAAACUAAGAAUGGAGUGGGUCAAUAUACAAGGAGAAAUAAGGCAAUAGACUGGAAUGUAGAGAAGAGAGAGAGACUGGCACAGAGGGACAGUGGGGAUGAUAGGUAUUUUAAAAAAUAAUGGGAAAUGAAAAGAUUUUCUCUAUCACAGAAAACCAAGGUUCUGUGGAGACAGACCCUAAACUAGACUCCUGCAGAGUCUAAUGCUCGUUCAUCACAAGGCAUGCUAGACACUGCAAGACCCAUUGGCCCAUCUUUUUGAUCCUCACUCUCAAUCAUCUAAACAAGGCUGAGAGAUGACUCUCUGUACAGCCUCUGCAUUGUGUAAUAAUAACUCUGAAAUAGUUUCUGAUCUUUUCUCUUAGGGGUUGCAUAAAAUUUUGCUUCUAGCAAGAGAAAUAAACAACCCAUAACUAAAUCUAGAAACUUAGCAGGCAAAGCUCUGUAGUCAGAAUGGCUACUUUAAUUUGAGCAAUUCUGAACACAAUUUGAACCUCUCCACACUAUGAAAAUAGCAUAAAAUGAAAGAAAUAAUAGCUAAUACACCAACAAGAAGUACAGUAUAUAUGAUGUACUUACAAAAAAAUAUAGAAUUAUGGAUAAUAUGACACAUUCAUUGAGCAAAGAGAACAUGGCAUACAUUUAUCUUAUAUAAAAUAAUGCUUUAUAAUAUAUAUUUAAUUGAACAUGGAUUCUUAAUACAGAAACAAAAAAUAUUUUAGAUUGAUUAUCAUUGUACAAUUCCUUAGAGACAAAAAAUGUAAGUAAAAUGUCUGUGGAUUUUCCAAUACAACCUACUCUUCCUAUCUAAGUGAUAAUAAUAGCCUUUAAGUAAUUUUCUAAGGAUUUUUAUUUUAAAAAGUUUAAUUUACCAAUGAAAAAACAUAAAUCUUUGACAUUAAAUGAAAGCUCUAACAGAUGACGCAGAUAUUUCUAAUAAAAACAACUCAAAAAAUGGAGGAACUAAGCUCGUAUAUUUCAUUAGAGAUAUUGGAUAUAGCAAAUUAGCCUUUAUUUUAAAAUGAGGUCUCUCAAUCUAAUUUUAAAAAUAAAUAUAAGCGGACUUUUACUUACAGCAAGGUGGAGGAAAUAUAUUUUUUUUCUCUAUAUUUCCUUCUAACAAGGAAUGAAAACCCUAGACAUCAUAUAAGAAAAAACAAUAAGAAGAUUUUGAAAGAUAGAGAGAAAUCAGACCAGCCAGUGGCUUUGGAACCCUAGGAAGAACUCAGUGGUGAGUUUCCUGGAUCUUCCUUUAAUCUCACAUAUCUGAGCCUUAUUGCUGAAGAAUUCAACAACCUGGAGAUACCAAGAGCACAGAGAAAACCACACCCCGACAAAAGUCUGCUCUUUCUAGCCAAAGGGUGAGGAACGGGCCUGCCUAGAAAGACAUCAUACUUCUAGACAACAACCCAUCAACUCCAGCAAAUGCCACAGAAAAAAACUGUGGCCCCGCUCUCACUCCCACAAUACGUAUCAAUUGGGGGGCACAAAGUUUCUUCCUCUCGAGGCCAUAACGAUGUGCUCCCCAAACCCUGCUGGGGUGGUUGGUGUGAGAGAGAGCCAGAUAGGAAACUUGAUGUUCAUCUUCUCUCGCUGUAAGAAAUCCCCAUGCCCCUUCCCCUCACUCCCGGCCAUAGUGUCAGUUUAUGUGAUGUGAGGAUCCUAGUGCUGCAUCCUCACCACACAAGAACAAGCCCCCCUCCACCACCCUGCCCAUUAUGAUGGAGUCAGCAGAGCCCGGUGGAGAGUCCCAUAGACUGGUCACAUAGACUGGCCGCGUAGACUGGCCACAGGGGAUCUGGGCUUCUCACUCCGCCAGGCAGCAAUGAAGUGGCACCCUCCCAUUCUGUCAGAGUGGAGUCAGAUCAUGCCAGCUAAAAUGCACGGUUUAAAUACAGGCUUCAUCACAUGAUUGGAAAUGUCCACUUUUAAAUUGAAAAUCACUUAUCAUACCAAGAUCCAGGAAGACCUAAAACCAAAUGCACCAGGCAUGGUAGGUAACACCUGUAACUCUAGCACUUUGGGAGGCCAAGACGGGAGGAUCACUUGAGCUCAGGAGUUCAAGACCAGCCUGGGCAACAUAGCAAGACCUCAUCUGUACUUAAAAUUUUUAAAAAGCUAGCCAGGUGUGGCAGCGCAUGCCUGUAGUUCCAGCUGCUCUGGAGGCUGAGGCAGGAGAAUCACUUGAGUCUGGGAGGUCAAGGCUGCAGUGAGCCAUGAUUGUGCCACCACACUCCAGCCUGGGUGACAGAGUGAGACUCUGUGUCAAAAUAAACAAACAUAUAAGCUGAAUGAAAAGGACAGUCAGCAAUUAUAAAUAUGUGAUAACAGAUAUAGAAUUACCUACAAACGUUGUGAGGCAGCCAUUGUAAAAUGUUUCAAGGAGCACUUACAAAUAGAAAGUGCCAGCAAAGAGAUAUAAAGAACAAAGGGGAAAUUUGAAUAUUUAAAAAUUAAUAAUCAAUGCGAAAGUUUAGUGUUUGGACUCAACAGCUUAAUGGAGGAGAUAGAGUAAAAGAUCAGGAAACUGGAAGAUAGAAUAAGAAAAGUUACCCGGUCUGAGCAACAGAGAAAAGAUAGCUGGAAAACAAUAACAAAAAUGACAGAGCAUCAGAGAUCUAAGGGACUAUAACAAAAGAUAUUAGAAAAAGGCCAGGUGUGAUGGCUCAAGCCUGUAAUUGCCUGUAAUACUAGCAAUUUGGGAGGCCCAGGAGGGCAAAUCACUAGGUCAGGAGUUUGAGAUCAGCCUGGCCAACAUGGUGAGACCCCCGUCUCUACUAAAAAUACAAAAAAAAAAAAAAAAUUAGCUGGGCAUAGUGUUGGGCACCUGUAAUCCCAGCUACUUGGGAGACUGAGGCAGGAGAAUUGCUUGAACCUGGGAGGCAGAGGUUGCAGUGAGCCAAGAUCACACCACUGCACUCCAACCCCGGGCGACAGAGUGUAACUCAGUCUCAAAGAAAAAAAAGAUAUUAGAGAAAAAAAAAUCAUGCAACCAGAGUCCCUAAAGGAGAGGAGGAAGGGUGCAAAGGUGAAAAAGUUACUUGAAAAAUAAUGACUUAAAAAAUAAUGAUGUUUGGCCAGAUACAGGACACUACAGAAUCAAGAAGCUGAGCAAACCUUCAACAAAAUAAUCCAAAGAAAUCCACAUCAAACAAUUAACUUCUGAAAUCUAAAAACAAAGAAAAAUCUUGAAAGUAGCCAAAGAAAAAAUGACACCUUAGUUACAGGAGAAAUUCAUAAUCACAGUAGGUUUCUGAUCUGGAACAAUGGAAGCCAAAUUAAUAGGACACAAUAUUUUUCAAGUGCUGGAGGAAAGGAACCGUCAACACCAAAUCCUAUAGCCUUGAAAAUGUCAUUCAGAAAUUAAGGGAAGAUCAAGACAUUCUCAGAUGAUAUAUAAUUAAGAAUAUUUAUUACCAGCAGACAUACCCUAAAAUAAUGACUGAAGGAAGUUCUCUAAACAGAAAGGAAAAAAUAGAAAAAGGAAUCUUGGAACAUCAGGAAGGAAGAAAUCAUAUGAUUAAAACAAAUAUGGGUAAAUAUUAUAGGCUUUCCAUCUCCUCUUGACUUUAAGAGAGUGGGUUUGAUGUUUGAAGCCAGAAUUAUAACACUGCCUCAAGUGGUUCUAUAUGAAUGCAGAUGAAAUAUUUAUGACAAAUAUAUUAUAAAUGGGGAAGAAUAGAGGAGCAUAAAAGAAGUAAGUUUUCCCUACUUCAUUUGAACUGAUGAAAUAAGGACACUACUGGAGUGUUAUGAGUUAUGUAUAAAUAAUGUAAUUCUGAGAACCACAGGAAAAUCACCCAACACAUUGAAACUAAGCAACAAUCUUUUAAGUAAUCUCACUAUCAAAGGGGAAGGAUCAAGGAAAAUAAAUAGAAAAUAAUGCAUAUUAAAAGUUAUGUGACACAGAUAAAGCAGUGUUAAAGGAAUUUUUGCACUAAAUGCGUAAUUAGAAAAGAAAAAUAAUCUCAAAUCAGCUAUCAUAGUUUGCAUCCCAAGAAUCUAGAAAAGUAAUUUUAAAACAUCAGAAAGAAAAAAAUGAUAAAGUUAUGAGACAGUUAAGAGCAGAAACAAAUGAAAUUGGAAACAGCAAAACAAUAUAAAAAAUCAAUGAACAAAAAAGCUAGUUCUUUGAAAGAUCAACAAAAUUGACAUGAAUGAUGAAAAAUAAGAGAAAGACAUGAAUUACCAGCAUGUAGAAUGGCACUAAAGAUGCUUCACUAUAUCCUGCAAUCAUCAAAAGGAUGAUGAGAGAUUACAAUGAACAACUCUAGACACAUAAAUUUGAUACCUUACAUGAAAUGGACCACUUUCUUUAAAAAAAAAAAGAAAAGCUACCACAAUUGACUCAACAUAAAUUGCUAAUUGGGAUAGUCUUUUAAGUAGUAAAGAAACUGAAUUCAUAAUUAGACAUUGUCAAAAUGAAAUCUCUGAGCCCAGAUGGUUUCACCGGAGAAAUUAUUUAAAGAAGAAUUAACAUCAAUUCUAAAGAAUCCAGAUUAUUGAGGGGGAGGGAACACUUUUUGAUAGACUUUAGAAAGCUAGUAUUACUCUGGUUUUGAUUCAUAUCAAAACCAGAAUAAAAUUGUUAAAAAUAAAAUAUAAGGAAAUAAAGAGAAAGCAACAUAUCAAUAACCCUCAUAAAUAUGACAGAAAAUAUUUAAGAAAAUAUUAGUAAAUUGAAAUAAAAUUCAGCAGUAUAUCAAAAGGAUUAUAUAUUAUAACCAUGUAUCUUCUAUUCUAAGGAAACAAGGCAAUUCAGUAUUCAAAAAUCAAAUAGUGUAGGCCCCCAUAUUAACAGAAUUAACAAAACUCUUCUAAUUUUCCAAUUAGAGGAAAAAUCACAUGGUCAUACAAUUGAUGCAGAAAAGGCAUUUUAAAUAUUCAGAAACCAUUUAUAAUAAAACUCUCAGAAAACUAGAAAUAGAGAGGGAUAUUUCUCAACCUGAUAAAGAACAUCUACAAAACCUGUGGGUAUUUUCAUAAUGAUGACAGAGAGAAUGCUUUUUCUCUAAGGUCAGGAACAAGGAAAAAAUGCUCUCACCACACUUAUCUAACAGUGAUUGAAAUUCUAAUCAGUGCAGUAGGGCAAAUAAUAAUAAUAACAACAAACACAAAGCAGAAAGGAAGAAACAAAUGUCCCUGCCUACAGAUGACUUGGUUGUUCGCAUGGAAAAUCUCAAGGAAUCUACAAAAAUAUUCCUAAAAACAGUAAGUAAGUUCAGCAAGUUUACAGAAUACAAGAUGUAUAUUAAAAAGUUAUAUUCCUAUAUAUUCACAGUGAAUACAUGGGAAAUGAACCAAAGAAUGUGAUAUCAUUUAUAAUCACUAAAAAUGAAAUGAAAUAUUUAGGUAUAAAUUGAAACUACACACCACUGCUAAAAGAAAUCAAAUAAGAUCCAACUAACAGAGAGUAAACUUAGUUUCUUGAAUUGAAAGAGUAAACUUAGUAAGUAGUCAAUUCUUUCUAAAUUUAUACUGGAGGUUUAAUGCAAUUCUGAUCAAAAUCUCAGCAAAAUGUUUCGUAGGUAUAGAAAAGAUUGUUAUAAAAUUUAUCUGGAAAGGCAUAGGUCCUAGGAUAGCUACAGUAAUUUUUACAGAGAAUAAUAAAGUAGGUGGAAUCUGAAUACCCAGUAUCAAAACUUACUUUACAUCUGUGUUCAUUAAGAAUGUUUGGUGUUGGUGGAGAGAUAGAAAUAUUGGCCAAUGGACAGAACAGAGAGCCCAGAAAUAGACACACACAAAUACACUCACCUAAUCUCUUAAGAAGGGGCAAAAGCAUUUCAACAAAUGGUACUGGAGCCAUCGAACUCCACAGACCAAAAAACAGUAUCUUAAUGUAAGGCUUACAUCUUAUUAAAAAAUUAACUCAAGAAAGGCCACACAGAGACAUAAAUGUAAAACAACUGUAAAACUUUUAGAAUAAAUAUAGGAGAAAAUUUCCAGUGUCUAGGGCUAAACGAAGAGUUCCUUGUCGUGGUAUCAAAAUCAUGGUCUCUCAAAGAAAAAAUAGUUAAUUGGAUUUCAUCAAAAUGUUUACUUUGCAAAAAAAAAAACACCUCUGUAAAGAGGGUAACAGAUCAGUUACUGGGCAGCUAAAAUAUUUGAAAUCUACAUAUAGGUAAAAGGACUAACAUCUAGGUCUAUUUUUUCAACUCUCAAAACUCAGUAGUAGCUAGUUGCAGUGGCUCAUGCCUGUAAUCCCAGCACUUUGGGAGGCUGAAGCAGGCAGAUCACGUGAGGUCAGGAGUUCAAGACCAGCCUGGCCAACAUGGUGAAACCCUGUCUCUACUAAAAAUACAAAAACUAGCAGGACAUGGUUAAUUAAUUAAUUGAUUAUUUAAAUUAAUACUUGGGAGGCAGACGCAGUAGAAUCGCUUGAACCCGGGAGGCGAAGGUUGCAGUGAGUUGAGAUCGCGCCAUUGUACUCCAGCCUGGCCGACAGAGAGAGAUUCUGUCUCAAAAAACAGAACUCAACGGUAACAAAAACAAAGAGAGAAUAGGCAAAAGAUAUGAAGAAAUUUCACAGAAAAUGAAAAACAUAUGGCAAAAAAACACAUGAAAAGAUACUCAAAAUUAUUUGCCAUUUGGAUAAUUAAUAUUAAAACCGUAAUGAGAUAUCACUGCAUAUCUUUCAUAAAAACUAAAAUCAAAGACAGUAAAAACACUAAAUCCUGGUGAGGCUGCAAAGGAACUGGAUCACUCACACAAUGCUGAUGGAAAGAUAAAACGGUAGAUACAUUCUGGAAAAUAGUUUUGCAGUUUCUUUAAAAAAAGUAAACUUGCAUUAAAACCCAAAAAUUGACCUCCUAGCCUUUUAUUUCAGAGAAAUACAGACUUAUGUUGACACAAAAACGAGUAAACAAAUGUUUAUAAUAGGUUGAUUCAUAAUAUCCACAAACUAAAAACUAUCCAGACAGACAUCCUUUACCAGAUGGAGGGUUAAACACACUGCGGUACCUCUAUACGAUGGAAUACUAUUCAGUGAUCAAAGGGAAAGAAUUAUUGAUAUGUGCAACAACCUGGAUAAUUCUCCAGAAAAUGAUGCCUGCUGACAGAAAUCAAUACCAAAAAGCUACACGAUUCCACUGAAGUCACAUUAUUGAAACGACAAAAUUACCAAAUGGAAAAGAUAUUAGUGAUUUCCAGGAAUUAAGGAGGGGAUGAGGUGAAGGAAGUGGGUAUGGCUAUAAAAGGGUAAAAUGAGUGGGUUCAACUGUAUUCCCCGCCCACACUAAUAAAGCAUAUGAAUAUAUGCUAAUGCCUGAAGCCUAUGAAUAUGACCCUAUGUGGAAAAAGGGGUUUUGCAGAUGUCAUUAAAGAUCUCAAGAUGACAUUAUCCUGGAUUAUCUGGGUGGACCCUAAAUCCAGUAUAAGUGCCCAUGUAAUAAGCCGAAGAGAUGAGAGAAGGCCAUGUGAAGACAGAGGCAGAGAUUGAAGUUUUACAACCACAGGUCCAGGAACACCUGAAGCCAGCAAAAUAGGCAAGGCAAUAGCUGGACUAGGCCAGGAAGGAUUCACUUCUAAACCUUGGAAGGGAAUGCAGCACUGCUGCUACCUUGAUUUUAGGCUUCUGGCCUCCAGAACGGUGAGAGAAUAAAUAUCAGUUGUUUUAAGCUGUCCAGCUUGUGGUCAUUGGUUAGGGGUUAGGACAGCUCUAGAAAACGAAUAUGGGGGAUCCUCAUGGUGAUGAAAAUGUUCUGUAUCUCUGGUUUAACAAUGUCAAUGUCCUGGGUAUCAUAUUGUACCAGAGUUUUGAAAGAUGUUGUCACUAGGGAAAACUAGGUAAAGCAGGGCGAUGUUUUUGUUUUAUUUUGCAUAACUGCAUGCAAAUCUAUCAUUAUCCCAAAAUAAAAUGUUGAUAAAAAUAAAUAAAUAAAAUUGAAUUAUAAUUUGAUCUCUGGGUUACACAAUCAGAAUGAGUUGAUGGCACCUGAAGGGCAUCUAUUUUAUAGUACACCUUCAUCCAAAUAUUUACUUUUAAUGAUUAACAAACCGACUUAGCAUGUUUGCAUUAAUAUCUUAAGUGAGUCUCUGGAAUUAUUCAUCUUUUAGCAAAAUACUAUGAAAGCCUCUCACACAGGCUAAGCAGAGAAUAUUAAUGACUAACUAUGAUUUAUCGUUUUGUGUUUGCUUCAAGAAACUGGUACAUAAAUAUGUAAUUCUUAUAAAAAAUUUGUGGCAGCUUAUAAAAUAUACAUGUAAUAUAAGGUGAAAAACAAAAUAAAAUAGGAGAGAAAUAAGGAUAGGAAAAGUAAAGGAAGGCAAAGUUAAAAUUAGAAUACAAAACAUCAGAGAGUGAUCUACACUUCACAAGUUUGGGCUUCUAAUUUUUCCAGAGAAGAAAUAUAUAAUUCCAUAAAGAUAUUUAAGCAAGUAUAAAUUAGUCAAUAUUCUCAUGUCAAAAAACUAAAACAUAAAAAUAAGUAUCUCAAUUAGAGAUGUCAAAUUUAGUCAGAGUUUAGAAUAUUCUAUUUAAAAUAUAUCCAGUACGAUUUCAGAAAUAAUUAUCUCAGUUCAAGAAGGGAAAACCUGCUAAAUAUUUAAAUGUCAAAUAUAUCAGUGAUAGUUUCUGUUCAUAUUUUUAGUCUUUUGUCCUGGUAUAACUGAAAAAUUUGCAUGACUUAAAAUGUCAUAUUUUAUUUCAGCCUUAAUAUUGGUUAGUUGAAAGGCAUAAUUAUGACCAGAAAAUGUACUUUAAAAUUACCCAAUGAGAAAAGCUAUGCUAGUUUUAACUGAAAAUGCUUUACUUAAAUGCCAAAAAUUGAAAUAGUCUACUUUAUUAAGAUAUUUAAAAUAAAAUUAUGAAAACGAUGUCAUAUCCUUUGCAAAGUUGGCACCCGAAGUUCGAGUUCUGUCUUUCAAAAUGUAAAGUGAUUUUUUUCUGUGGAAGUAGAAUUGUCACCUGUAAUGGUUUUCAGUAAAUUACUCUGAAGCAUCUUGUCAAGAACAUUCAUAAACUUAAAAAUAAAACAAAGAUUUUCAUGUCUAUCAAGACUAAAAUAACAAAAAGUUAUUCCCACCAUUUAAUAUCAUAUAAAGACAAAAAUAAAUAGAUAUAUAAUAAAAAAUAAAAUAUAUAUAUUUAAAGAUACAUACUUUUUUCAAUAGUAAGGAUCACAUUUGCAUGUAUAUGAAAUACAACAUAAAAAUCAGCAUAAAAAUCAUCCACUAUCUCAUUUUUACAUAAAAUGAUAUCUAACACGAGGACUGCUUGGAAAAUAGCAUCUUAAUCUUUGCUUAACUUCUUAGGUUAUUUUGGAACUCUCUUGAUCUCAGAUUCUUCUUCUAUAAAAUUGAGACAAUCUUUCUCCAGGAGAAUAGGUUCAGGUUUUAUAAAGUGAUAGAUAUAAAAGUAAUAUAACAGAUAUGAUUAUUAAUAAUAUUAUUAUUUGAAAUGGACAAGCAGUAAUGGGAGGAUAGAAUGAUAAGGAUGUGUAUCAUUGCCAAAUCCUUGAGGGAGGUGCUGGUAUUUGGAAAAAAAAAAAAAAACAACGAAUACCUAAACGUGAAUAAAUUUGAGGAAACUCUAUUGAAAGUCUUCCCCACCUGUUCAUGAAACAGAUGCCCUUUUCUCCUCUGUUAUUGCAUAAGUAAGGUAUAUGUCUUAGUCCCUUUCAAUUCCAGUCUGGCCAUGUGCCUGAGCUCUAUCUAGCCAAUAGAAUGCCAGCAGAAAUUAUAUGUAUCACUUCCAGGUCUUCCCUUUUAGAACCCUAACACCCACCCUCUUUCAUGCUCAUUCUUCACCAACUGAUUGCACACACCCGUCAAGGAACUUGGAGCUGUCAGAUGGCAGAAGGUUGCUGCCCUGAAUGGCAGAAUGGAAAUAAACGCACACCGGAAUUACCCGCAAUUAACCACUGCAACUAAAUGAGACAUCAACUUUACUUAUGUUAAGCCACUGAGAUUGUAAGUUUUGAAUGUAGACCCAAUAUACUACGCCGGUUAAUUUACAAGCCUAGAAUAGUACGAAGAACUAUCAUAUAUAAUAAGUAAUGCCAAUAUCAAAAUUAUGGUAAUGUUUCUUGAUACAAAAACAUAAACUGGAAAAGGAAACAAUUACUACUAACAAAAUUCACUAUAAGAUGUGUCUAAUAUGUCAAGCAUUGACCCUAGACUACGGUCAAAUGUCAGUUGGAAGGUUAAGUUGUGUACUCUAAGACAAGCACGUGAAAUAAUUCCUGUGGAUUCCUGUCAGUGCAGCAGUUUCUCAGCUAGUGUUAGUCUAGGAGAUUCUGACCAGCAGCACUUCUUGUUCAGCUCCUUUUCCUUAACGUGUAAUUUUCAGCAGAAUAAAACUGCAUUCUCUAUAUUCUAGCACAAAUGAACAUUUUGUGACUAACAGUAUUCACUGAUAGUAUAAUGUAUCGGCCUUAUUGCUGUCAAUAAUUAUUAUUUGUAUUUAUAUUACAAUAUUACAUUUCAGUUAUUUUGGUUCAAGGUUUUAGAGUCAUCAACUUCUGUGAACAUUUCUAAGAAUUUUCCAUCCCUUAUCUUCCUACCCCCUUCAUCAGGAACCCUUAGUCUAAGUAACCCCAUAUACUUUUGCCUAUGUAACCCCUCUCAUAUCAAAAACUAGAACACAGACAUAUUGAGAUGGACUCAGUCAUAAAGGGAUAUAAAUUUGUUUUGUAGAUUCAUAUGUUAAUUUUAUAAUAAUAGAUUACUUUUAAUUGACACAAAAUAUUACCCAGCUCAGAUAAUAUUUUAUUUUGCAAUCUUUCAACAAUUAGCUGUUAGGAAAGACUGUUUAAGUGAAGGAUCUACCAUAAAGAAUCCAAAAUAAUAUACCACUUUUUGCCCAGUGGCUUUUGCGUAUCAGGCACUAUGUUACAGAUUUUAUAUGCCUAACUACUAUGUUUUUAUAAAGUAUUAUUUUCUAAAUUUACAGAUGAGAUAGCCUCACCUCACUGAGAUUACAUGAUUUGCUAAAGACCACAAGGAUAGAAUCAAGAUUUGAACUCUUUUCUUUCUCCAAAUCUAGAGCUCUUUUUCCUUACUUCUGUUCUAUGGAAUUGAUUGUUCUGCUUCUUUUCUAUAAUUAACCUUUACAAUCACUUAAUAACAAAUUUGUGAUAUAUACGGUAGACACCAAUAUAAGUGCUGAAGCUACAAAGAUAAAUGGGAACCCCUGGCCAGGUGUGGUGGUGCGCGCCUGUGGUCCCAGCUACUCAGGAGAUUGAAGCGGGAAGAUCACUUGAACUCAGGAAUUUGAGAUCAGCCUGCUCCAAAAAGCAAGUCCCCAACUCUAUAAAAAUAUAUUUUUAAAAAAUUAGCCAGACAUGGUGGCAGGCAUCUACGGUAGCAGCUAUGUGGGAGGCUGAGGUGGGAGGAUUACUUGUGCCUGGAAGUUCAAGGUUGCAGUGAGCUAUGAUUGCACCACUGUGCUCUAGCCUGGGUGACCACAAAGCCCUGUCUUAAAAACAAAACAUAAAAGUAAAAAUAUGGAACCAUCAGUCUAGUUGGAGAAAAAUUCAUGAAAAUAAAUGAUUACAUUGUGGUGGGAUAUGCGAGUAGAGGUGAAAGAGAAGACACAGAAGCCCUGCCGUGAAGGCAGUGAAUAACUUGCUAUGGGACUUUCAAGGACUGUUUGGAGGUGAAGGCAGUACCAGAGCAGGAAUUAGAGGUACAUUGGAAACUUAGUAGGCCAACAGAGGAGAUGAGGGUGUGAGGUGUGGAAGAGAAGAUACCUGAGUGGGGUCUACUCAUGGCAAACCUAUAUACAAUGCUAAGAAAUUUGAGCUGUUGUCCUGUGCAUGAGAGGAAACAAUGACAAAUUUUACUGAAAAUAAUAAUUUUAAGAGAUUUUUGAUGUAAGAAAUUACUAUCAGCAACAGCAAAUAUGGGUCAGGGAUGGAGAAACUAACUGGGUUGUGAUGGCAGAUUAGAGAUCAUGUUUCCAUUUAUCCAAUCUAUCAAUCCAUUUAUCCUUCCACUUUAUUAGAAAAAGCCUGGUCUAGCUACUCAGGAGGAUGAGGCAGGAGAAUCGCUUGAACCAAUGGAGGUUGCAGUGAGCCGAGAUCACACCACUGCACUCCAGCCUGGGCAACAGAGCAAGACUCCUUCUCAAAAAAAAGAAAAAAGAAAAGAAAGAAAAGAAAAGAAAAGAAAAGAAAAGAAAGAAAAGAAAAGAAAAGAAAAAGACUGGUCUAACAAAUAAUAGUUGGGACAUUGGGAAUAUGAUAGGUUUUUGACAUAUUUAGGAACUGAAAUUCAGGCAUUUUAGAGAUUUAUGGGACAUCCAGGUAGAGUUCUAUGAUAGGCAACUGAAUAGUUAGAUUUCACAGGAAAGCAGAUCAAUCAAUAAAUGUGGGACUUAUGUAUUUACAUGUGGUUAUUAAAACCAAGGACAAAGAUUUCAUUACCUUAGAGUAUAGUAAAAAAGAGAGGAUUGAAUAGAAUCACAAAGAGGGACACAGGGACAGAGAAGAAGGAGGAAGGAGACUGGGAAAGAACAUUUAGGAAGAGGACAGAGACCUAGAGAGGAUCAUGUAAGGAAACCAAGUAAGGCAUGUUCUCAAGACUAUAAAUUGCUGAUAGGAACAGAAGCCACAGGAAGUUUAAGAACAGUGUACAUUGGUCUCACAAAAUAGGAGACCAUUUGUUAAAACACUGUCCAAGGCACUACUUAUGGCAGCAGAAGUGAGAUUAAAGGGGAUUAAGUAGUUGGUGAAAAUUAGACAGUGAAAAUAUAAAAGUAAAUUACUAUUUUCAUAAAUGUAUAUAGGCACACCUCAUUUUAUUGAACCUUGCUUUACAAAUUUUAACCUUGUGGUUAAAACAACCACAGAUACUACAUUUUUUACAAAUUAAAGGUUUUGGCAACUGUGUGGAGCAAGUUUAUUGGCAGCAUUUUUUUCCAACAGCACGUUCUUUCUCUCUUUUGGCCUCUGUUACAUUUUGGUAAUUCUUGCAAUAACUAAAACUUGUUCAUUAUUAUCACACCUGUUACGGUAACCUGUGAUCAGAGAUCGUUGAUGUUACUGUUGUAAUUGUUUUGGGGUGCCAUGAACCAGAACCAUGUAAAACGGCAAACUCACUUGUUAAGUGUUGUGUGUGUUCUGAAUGCCCCACUGACCUGUUGUUCUGCCAUCUCUGUCCUUCUCCUUGGGCAUCCCUAUUCUCUGAGACACAACAAUAUUGAAAUUAGGCCAGUUAAGCCUACAAUGGCUUCUAAGUAUUCAGGUGAAAGGAAUAGUUACAUGUCUCUUACUUUAAAUCCAAAGCUAGAAAUGACGAAGCUCAGUGAGGAAGGCAUGUCAAAAGCCAAUAUGGGACAAAAGCUAGACCUCUUGCACCAAAACUAGCCAAAUUAUGAAUGCAAAGGAAAAGUUCUGGAAGGAAAUUAAAAGUGCUACUUUAAUGAACGCACAAAUGAGAAGAAAGCAAAACCUUAUUGUUGACAUGGAGAAAGUUUUAGUGGCCUGAGUAGAAGAUCAAACCAGCCACACUAUUCCCUUAAGCCAACGUCUAAUCUAGGGGAAGGCCCUAACUCACUUCAAUUCUAUGAAGGCUGAGAGAGGUGAGGCAGCUGCGGAAGAAAAGUAGGAGACUAGGAGAGGCUGGCUCACGAAGUUAAGGAAAGAUGCCAUCUGCAUAACAUAGAAAUGUAAGGUGAAGCAGCAACUGCUGAUGGAGAAGCUGCAGCAAGUUAUCCAGAAGACCUAGCUAAAAUAAUUGGUGAAAGGGCCUACACUAAAACAACAAAUUUUUAGUGAAAAACGCAGCUUUGUAUUGGGAGAAGAUCUCCUCUGGACUUUCAUAGCUAAGAAGGAGAAGUUGAUGCCUGGCUUCAAAUCUUUAAAGAAUAGGUUGACUCUUCUAUUAGGGGCUAAUGCAGCUGGUGACCUUAAGUUGAAGCCAAUAUGAAUUUACCAUUCUGAAAAUUUUAAAACAAGAAUUAUGCUAAAUCUACGUAGCCUGUGGUAAGUGGAACAAAACCUGGAUUACAGCACAUCUGUUUAUAGCAUGAUUUACUGAAUAUUUUUAGCUUUCUUUUGAGACCUAGUGCACAGAAAAUAAUAUUCCUUUCAAAGUAGUACUGCUCAUUGACAAUGCACCUGGCCAUCCAAAAGCUCUGAUAGAGAUGUACAGGGAGAUUAAUGUUGUUUUCAGGCCUGCCAAUGGAACAUCUAUUCUGCCACCCAUGGAUCAAGGAGUAAUUUUGACUUUCAAGCACUAUGAUUCAAGAAAUACAUUUCAUGGGGAUAUAGAUUCCAUAGAUAGUGAUUCCUCUGAUUGAUCUGGGUAUAGUCAAUUGAAAACCUUCUGGAGGCUGGGCAUGGUGGCUCAUACCUGUAAUCCCAGCAAUUUGGGAGGCUGAGAAGGGCAGAUCUUCUGAGGUCAGGAGUUUAAGACUAGCCUGGCCAACAUGGUGAAACCCUGUCUCUACUAAAAAUACAAAAACUAGCCUGGCAAGGUGGUGCACCCCUGUAAUCCCAGCUACUCAGGAGGCUGAGUGAGGCAAGGCAGGAGAAUUGCUGGAACGUGGAGGCAGAGGUUGCAGUGAGCCGAGAUCCCGCCACUCACUCCAGCCUGGAUAAAAGAGCAAGACUCCAUCGCAAAAAAAAAGAGAAAACCUUCUGGAAAUGUUUCAUUACUCUAAAUUGCAUUAAGAACAAGGAGGUCAAAAUAUCAACAUUAAUAGUACUUUGAAAGAAGUUGAUUCCAACUCUCAUGGAUGACUUUGAGGGGUUCAAGACUUCAGUGGAGGAAGUAACUGAAGAUGGUCUGGAAAUAGCAAGAUAACUAGAAUUAGAAGCAGAGCCUGAAAACGUGACUGAAUUGCUGCUACCUCAUAAUAAAUCCUUAAGGGAUGAGAGGCUGCUUGUUAUGGACGAGCAAAUAAAGUGGUUUCUUGAGACAGCCUCUACUUCCGGUGAAGAUGCGAUGAACUUUGUUGAAAUGACAACAAAGGGUUUAGAAUACUCUGUAAACUUAGUUCGUAAAGCAGCCACAGGGUAUGAGAAGAUUGACUCCAGUUUUGAAAGAACUUCUAAUUUGGGUACAUUGUUAUCAAACGGCAACGCAUGCUACAAAGAAAUCUUUUCUGAAAGGAAGAGUCAAUUGAUGAGGCAAACUUCAUUGUCUUAUUUUAAGAAAUCAUCGGCCAGGCAUGGUUGCUCACACCUGUAAUCCCAGCACUUUGGGAGACCGAGGCGGGCAGAUUGCCUGAGCUCAGGAAUUCACAACUAGCCUGGGAAACCCAGGUGAAACCCCAUCUCUACUAAAAUGCAAAAAAUUAGCCGGGCGUGGCUGCGUGCUCCUGUAGUCCCACCUACUCGGGAAGCUGAGGCAAUAGAAUUGCUUGAACCUGGGAGGCAGAGGGUGCAGUAAGCUGAGAUUGUGCCACUGCACUCCAGCCUGGGCCACAGAGUGAGAUUCCAUCUACAAAAAAGAAAAAAAAAAAAAAGAAAGAAAAAGAAAAGAAAUUGUCACAGCCACCCCAGGAUUUAACCACCAUCGUUGUCAUCAUCAGCAGCCAUCAAUAUGGAGGUAAGACCUUCCACCAGCAGAAAUGUUAUAACUGGCUGAAGGCUCAGAUGACUGUUAGCAGUUUUAGCAUUAAAAUAUUUUUAAUUACGGUAUUUUCAUUGGUUUUUUAGACAUGAUGUUAUUAUACAUUUUAUAGACUACAGUGUAGUGUAAAUGUAACUGGGCCGAAAAAAUUGUGACUUUAUUGGGACAGUUGCUUAAUUGCAGUGAUCUCGACCCUCACUUGCAGUAUCUCUCAGGUGUGCCUGUAUAACGUGAAUGGAAUUUAUUAACAGGGAGUGAAACGAAAGAGUGGCAACUAGAGAGAAGCAUGGAGUAAGGAGAGGGAUUUUCUCUUGAUUUCAUUUGUUGACAUAGGAAUCAUUUAUAGAUUUGUUUUUCAUUUAUUUCAAUGAUAAGAAAGAAUGAUAAGAGGUGGCAGAGAAAGAGAAGUUGAAAAUAGAAUAAAGCUAAGUUACUUAUUAUUGAGGAAAACCUAAAUGAAAAAUAGGGAAAUAGGAUGAAGUCUAUUAAAGAGAUUAUCCAUGAGGAGGGAGACCUCAUCUUCUGAGACAAGAAUAAAAGAUACAAUGGUGGACUCAGAGGUAAAGUAAUUAUAAGUCUUGGUGAAUGUGUGUGGUGGAUAGGGAGGUAUGACUAUUCUUUCUCAAAGUAAGUGGUAAUUUAACUAUUGGGGAAAGGGAGAUGCUUGAUAUUUUGAGGACAUUGAUAAAGUCUAAGCCAAGCCACCUUUUUUUUUUUGAAUAAUUACUGAACCAUUCCUUUUCUUUAGCAAGUACCAUUACUUGAAUAUAAUUGACUCUACUAAAAGUCUUCAUAUAUUUAUAAUAAUCAUUGUUAAAUCAAAAUUAUUUUCUAAAAAUAUCUAGGCUACCAUAACAUAAAUAACAUAUCACAAUAUUUUCAAAGACAGUUAUCAUUUAGCUUAUUCAUAUAAUAAUUAUCCCGUUAACUUUUUUAUUUUCUGAGGUGAUAAAUCUACCUAUUUUCAUUAAGAUUUUAUGCAAGCAUAAUUUAUACUACAUAUAACAAGUUUUUUUCAACUCACAAUGACCUUUUAAAAUUGUUAAUAAGAGUAUAUAAGGGGUUUUAGAAAACUCCUUGGCUUGUAGGUGUGAGAGAAAGUCACAUUUAUUAUUACUAGAAGCAGUGUUCUGUUGGCAUAUUACAAUGUGGCAGACAAUCCUUCAACAAUUAAUUACCAGUAAAGUAAUUAUAGAAUAUCCUUUGAUGUUUAUAAUGUUUUAAUUGAAGUAAAAAUGUGAGAAUAUGCUUCAGGGGAAUAUAAUAUUUUAAUUAUUUAUGGGCCAAGAUAUCUAUAUACUUUGACUAGAGUGCAUUUCUCUAUUCUGUGGCAUCUCUGUUAUAAUAGAACAUUUGUAGACUAAAAAAAUAGGGUGUUUUCCCCCCACAGCGUAUUACAGUGAAUGUAGUCUACUUUAUAAUCCUCAGGGUUCUUUUAACUUGACGUGAAUCAAACACCUUAAGGAAACAGAAACUAAGACUGAAAGUUUUGACAAAUUAGUUUUGAAACCUUCACAAACUAAACCUGUUUUUGAUAUUGGUUUCAAAAAGUAUGCAUAGAAACUUGACAUGAAGUAGCUAAAUUUAUGCACUCAAUUGAUAUUUAUAUGUGUGCAGGUCUAUCAACGUUAUUGAAAAGUUAAUCCAAAGGAUUUAUUGAUUACUCUCAAUUUCUCAGAUACUGUCAGUUCACUUUUGAAAAUUAUUCUCUUAUGUAAUAUUGCACUCUUUUCAGUAAAAAGGAGAGUUUGUGGCUGUUAAAUAUGCAUGAGGCACAAUAGUUUCACAACAAAUCAAAUUUAAUUAAAUGAUGCAUUUCCUCCACUUACAAAAGGUUUAUUAAAGGUUUAUUUGCUCAUGCAAAUUAAAGUGUUAGAGUAAAAAUCCACAUGAAACUUGGCACUAACAAUUAAAAAAAUAUUGAAAGAUUUCUCGCCUCGCUGCAAUACCUUGCUAUGUUUAAACUGCUCAGCUUGUCAUUUAGAAUCUUUAAUGAAACCAGGGAGGAGGCUAUUUAUUUGCAUAAUAGGACAUAAUUUGCUGUGGUGAGGUUUUAAUUAUUUAUAGGCUGUCUGAAAUAUUUAAAAUGGCAUCACUAAGGAGCAUGAAGUGUUGGAUAAUGCCUUCAUUUCAGGUUUCCUGCCGUUUCUUUUAUGGGUCAAGCGAUUUAUUUCUAAUUAGCAUACCAGGCUAGUGGCUUUAAAAACAUAAGGAAAACAAAUUGGUUUCAGUCUGUUUGCAGCUUGAGUAGUUGGAGACGGCCAAGGGUCACUGACGGAGACUGAGCAGAGUUAAGAGAUGAAGCCAGAAGCCAUCCCAGCACAUGGAAAUCACUGACUCAACAGAGCCAUACUUUCAUUUGUGCACACUGAUUACUGUAUGUAGUAGCUUCUCUUUGGUAGGUAGUGGGUUAGAGUUAAUGGAUUUCAUGUUAAUUGUCCCUUAAAUAUUUUCUACCAUUAACACAUUUCUUAUUGGAAAUGAUGUGUAAGCAACAGAAAAUAUUCCAUUUCCUUGGAUAAAAGAUACAGUAAUUACUGUGUGCAUAGGGAAAAAUUCGGCAGUUUCAGGGUGAGAUUUAACAUUUAAGUAUAUGCAAUCUUAUUUAUAUACAAGAACAAGAGCCUGUGGUUAAAACACAAUAGGGUUCUUUUUUAAUAAACCAUAUGGAAACUCAUAUAUCUUGUGAGAGGUUGUGAAUUAGCAGAGUACACUAAAAUAUGUUCGAAUUUCUAAAGCAUUCUUAUUGUGCAUUGUCUGUGUUCUAGGUAAAAGGAAAAAAAAAACUCAGGAAUCAUCUAUAAGGUCUCUUAUGUUAUGAUAAAUGGAUUUUCAUGUUCUUUACUAUCUAUUUUAAAUAUGAUAAUUUUCUUGAAAGUAGUUUAAAAGUGGUCAUGUUGUAAACAUCAUUGUAUAGCCAGGAGAAAUGUGUUUACUGCAAGAGUUUAUUAUAUUUCCGUGAUGCUCUAGAUAUCCCCAUCAUCAUGCACAUAGAUUGAAAGCAGGGGUAGCACACUGUUGUCAGACAUUCUCUCAUUUGUCACCUUCUGGCCUCAAAACAUGAAUAGAGAAAUUGCUGCCAGAUGUCAAGAAACAGCCUUAGGGCAUUACAGAGGAUAUUAUCCAUGCCCUUUUAAGUAGUAGACAGAUGCUGUAUUCAGAGAGAGGAUUUUUAUGAUUAUCGUUCACACAGCCCAGGUGAUUGGUCAAGGCCAUAAAGGAGUCUGCAAUCCUUGGAGAACUUUUGGAGUCACUUUAACCAUAACGUAAUGUAUUGCAACAGUUACAAUAAAUUAUGUUAUGGUUCCUGAAUGUAACCGUCAAUUAUCAUUAUUUUUUUAAGUAUCCACUGGAUACAGAUAGUGG